CUGAAUUGAAAUAUUGUAAAAUUAUAGUUUCUAAACAAAGAAAAUAAGAUAGACAUAAAUUCUAUCAUUGUAUUAUAAAAUUUGUACAUAUAUAUAUUGAAAGGAUUUAUUUAUGUUUCGUUUGAUUAACUUUUUUCUCCUUUAUGGUCUUGUAAAAUAUAAUGAUUAAAAAAACAAGUUAAACAAAGAAAUUAAAAUUCAAUAGUUUUCAUUAUAAAAUGUUACCCUUUCUACAUUUUACCUUUGGCUUAAUUGCUUGCUGUAUUUAUCUAUAUAUAAUUAAUGCACUGAGAAAUGAUGAUGAUACGUUCAUAGCCUAAACUUAUAUCGAGUCUAUUGAUACUUUAUUUUUUUUGCUCAGAACCUAAAUGAAUAAAUGUAGAAGCUAAUGGCGCAGAUGGAAGGAAUGUUAAACAGGAUCUAGGGCUUUGAUGAUGUAUUGUUUAUCUAGUUAGGGUUGAUAAUCAAUGAGACCUACAUUGAAUUAACACUUAUAUAUGCACCUUAUUAUUACAAUUACUAUAUCAUGCAUAAGAUGACUAUUAAUAUUUUUUUCAGGUGGAAAGAUGAUUAUUAAUAGUGAUAACUUGCAAGUCAAUGUUUUUUAAUCACAUACUAACAAUUGGAGUAAUGAUUAAUAACUUAUUCUUGCAAAUUUUAGGGUUUAUGGGAUGAUUAAUCCACAAUAAUUAGUGCAAUUCUUAUAUUGGAUAUAUUUUGGAAUUAAUUAUAUCUCUAUUUGUUUUGAAUAAAUGCAGCCCCAGAGAAG
This 769-nucleotide unclassified non-coding RNA is filed under the name Hevea brasiliensis (rubber tree). Lineage: Eukaryota; Viridiplantae; Streptophyta; Magnoliopsida; Malpighiales; Euphorbiaceae. The record is from RNAcentral.